RNAcentral lists this unclassified non-coding RNA (161 nucleotides) under uncultured Ascomycota. RNAcentral describes it as "sequence contains ITS1". The record is from RNAcentral. Lineage: Eukaryota; Fungi; Ascomycota.
CAGAGAACUUGCCCUUUGGGGUAAAUCUCCCACCCUUUGUUUACAACACCAUGUUGCUUUGGCAGGCCCGUCUUUUGUGACCACUGGCCUUGGCUGGUCCGUGCUUGCCAGAGGAUUCAAAACUCUAUUAUUUUGUGUUCUGAGUUUAGUUUCAAUAGUUA